GUCCACGCCGUAAACGGUGGGCGCUAGGUGUGGGAACAUUCCACGUUCUCCGUGCCGCAGCUAACGCAUUAAGCGCCCCGCCUGGGGAGUACGGCCGCAAGGCUAAACUCAAAGGAAUUGACGGGGCCCGGCACAAGCGGCGGAGCAUGCGGCUUAAUUCGAUGCAACGCGAAGAACCUUACCAGGCCUUGACAUGCAGAGAACUUUUCCAGAGAUGGAUUGGUGCCUUCGGGAACUCUGACACAGGUGCUGCAUGGCUGUCGU
RNAcentral lists this ribosomal RNA (264 nucleotides) under uncultured bacterium. Its description in RNAcentral is "partial 16S ribosomal RNA". It matches the Rfam family "Bacterial small subunit ribosomal RNA", at positions 793 to 1055 of the family's 1533-position model. The record is from RNAcentral.